GUGGUUCCUGGCUAGUGCCCUUACAUGUCACUAAUGCAAUAGUGUGUUGAUGCAGGUACAUAUGAAUUUCAGCAAUGGAGGAGAAUGGUUUGAUGCAAAAUACUAGGCUUAUAUCAGGUGCAUAAGGCAAAAAUAGAAAGUGGACAAUUUAGGGUGAGUACCAGCAAGUCUUUCUGUAAGCAGUUAGGUGAUGCUGUAUGGCAGCCACCAGGGAAGCAGCAGAAGACCCUCAGUCGGGAACCGACUGAAUAUGAGACAGCUUCAUUCAGAGACCACAAGCUUGUGUGGGGAGGCAGGUGGGCUACAUGGUCUAACGGGUCCGUUCUGUCUUUAACUUCUCUGAUUCUGCACAGCCUUCCCUAAAAGCCAUCACAAAGGAGUGUCAAAAGACUCAAUACAUAUUCAUGGACAUUUCUGGAGCUGCAAACUAUGAAAAGAAAUCAAGUUGCUCUUAUCCAUGGACUGAAAUUGAAAGUACAGCCUAAUCCAAAAGGAUACCAGCUCACAGAGUGGUGUAUGAAAAUCUUAUAAAGCACUGCAACACUCCAUAAAUAAUUUUCAAACAAGAAGCUUUUUGUUUCACUGAUGGCAACACUGAAAAGGAAGAAUGGCAAAUAGCCGUCAAAAAAUGGCUGAAACAGCCUGCACUCUGUACCAAAGUUAACUUUAAUCACUGCAGGAGUUACACACAGAGUUAUCAGUCAUUUGUUAGAAACCGCAGACAAUCAUUGCAAAGGUUUAGAUUAACACGGACCAGAGUCUGGUGCCUUGCCAAUGGGGCACCACGUGACGGGCAGCCCAUGGAAUAAACAUUCUGGCACAUCAGUGUGCUAUAAAUCCUCCAAAUGAAAGAAAUUAAAAAGCCAGGAGCAAUUCUGAAAAUGAUUUAUGAUUGGAGGUGCACUUAGGAGUGCUUUUAUUGUCACAGGAACAUCUCCUUUCACAUCCUUAAGGUGACAGACCUACUCCACUUCCCUCUGGAUUUCUUGGGCUACCUUGUGACUACACAGGGUGCAAAGGCAAGCACCCUGGGAGCAUGCUGGGUGGUGGGGGGAAUACCAGCACUUUAGCAGCAUCCCCCUCUUGUGAGGGUUAGCUUUGCACAGCCUGAGGGUAAGAGAACUGCAAAUCUGUUCUGACAUUUUAAGUAUGCAAAAAGACACCAGUUGUGGGGUGGUUUGUUUUUUUUCUUUUACAGCUAUACCACAACCAUGCUCCUAAAUGCAUGUAUAAACAUUUUAUAACAUGGAUUUGGAAUAACUCUUCAAAAAUAAACUUAAGAAUAGUUCCUAAGCAGAAGGUAUUCUUAUCAAAACAGCAGUCUGUUGCAAGUCAACCCUUUGCUCCAUACGUAAAAAGAUGCAGCGCUAUCUGUUAGUGUACUUCUAGUGUAAAUAUUACUGUUUCACUAAAAUAUGAUUUUAGUACUAAUAUAGAUAUGUUUUUUUAAACAAAAAGUGCUUCCACUAUAAGCUGAAGGGCAAAAGAUUGUGGUUUACAGGCAGAAUACUCUAUCUAAAGAAUAAGACCCAUGGUGUGAGCAAAAGCCUGGGUACCUUGUAUAUCCAGGAUAUCGGCACAACAGCUAAUACUAGUCCAAGGCAGUGAUACCCUGGGCCAUGGACACAAACUUACCUGCAGCAUCACUGCCUUCCUGGUUUCUACUUUGGGCAUGUCUUGAGGUGCUUGGCCUUGUGCCUCUUGUUCUUCUGGGAUAGCACUGAUGGGUCCCACAUGAAGUGCCAUGGACAUGUACCCAGCAGAGUCAGCUGGUUUGGAUUAGCAAUGUCUGGUCACUACUGCUUCUGUCCACAGCUGGAACAAAACUUUAAAAAACAUAGUCUGUACAGGUUAUUGUUUCCAGUAAAGGCUUACACAUCUCCCAGCAUUGCCUAUCUUCUGUAGGUGAUUGUGGACAUCUCUGUCCAUCUAAAAGUAUUUCCUCCACAUGUUCCCACAGAUGACUUCUUAAGGUUAAUUUUAUAUCUAUGUACUAAACCUUCUGAUGUUCCCAUCCUGGGGCAGCACAGCAAAACAACUUUUAUAUCUUGGUUGGAGGUUGGCUCCUCAAAGCCAGCAUCUCAAGAACUGUCUUAUAAAACUCUGCAUGUGUUUGCUGAAUGUGACUUUUGGGGGCCACACUCACUUAGACCCACUGACAUCUCUAUCUCCAUCAAGGCUAGGCAGUGCCUUUCCCCCAGGGAUGCCAUGAGUGGACUGACCAUAUGCGGUACAACGUGUGGGGACCUGCACUGCAGGCUGGCGUUCUGUGACCUUACAGGGUCCCUUCUCACCCUCACGUGGGGUGGAUGUGGUGGGAGGGUAUAGGGUUAAACCUUUCUGGGAUUAUUUAUGGAAGCCCUUUCUUGAAUUUGCAAGUGUUUAUCUACAUUUUGUAAGCAUCUUAUAUUGUGCUUUGUCUGUUGUGCUGCUGAUAUUGACCCUGGAUAUAUAGUUCACUGAUUGCCAGUUAAUUACAUGUCAUUAAUAGAUCAAUAACCUGCUUUGAUCCUGAUUUGCUUUAAAACAUAUGAAUUGAGCAGCUUUUCCUUGCAACAACACUAAUCUUUCUCUGUCCAUUUCCCAGAAAUAAACCAAUGAAGCUGUAAAGCAGACACCCUUCCCACCCCUCUGAAUGCAAGUAUCUCUUUGCAUGUAACAUACCUCUUCCACCACGCUGAACAAAAAGGGGCAGAAUACGAUAAAAAGAGCUGGACGCUAAGGGAGAAGUUCUCCCAUGGCACUGGUAAUGAAAGUUACAGCUAAGUGCUUUUGAGGGUAGCAAUAACUCUGGGUGGGGGAGAAGACCAACGAGCUCUUGCAGCACAAGGAGAGUACUGUAAGUUAAGUAAGUUGUACAAAUUAUGCUGAGGGAAACUGGAGGGACUGGAGCUGUCUCAAAUCGAGUGACCACAAAGAAGGCAUUAAGCCAUUCAAGCUUCCUCUCUGCAAAGCCUAUGCCGAGGCACUGCAGACUUGUAGCUCAGUAGCUUCCCCUCCUCUGUACACACCAGGUGUUAGUUUGGUCUGUGCAUCUAGUCUGGUCUUCAUCCCCCUUCCUGUUUUACUGACAAGGCUGCUGAGCAGUGGCUGCAAUGACAGUAAUAGGCACAUGUGGAUCCCUAUGUAAUAAGAAAUAACCUGAGAGAAAUUCUCCAUCUGCAUAGUAGGUUAAUGUUCCUCCUUUUUUUCCAGUUUGGAUUGAUUUAGAAAUGCUAAGCUAUAAUUUUAGCAAGGCAGAUGCUGCUAGAAAUGCAAGAUGUAGCAAAAAGUGGUUUAAUCAUUGGAUUGUAUUUAGAACAAAAAUAUGAGUAGAUGCAAUGAAGGACAUUUUAAGGUGUACCAGCUCCAUAACAAGUUCUCCAUCCUAAGUGGAGGAGCAUGUCUGAAACAGUGGCCUGGGACCAGCCAGUUCCUCAAUGAACCGAGGGGCCGUGAUCCCACCUCACAAACCUACACACCUCCAGUUUGGUAUUUCAGUGUUAGAAUAUGAACUGCUUACGUACAAGGUAUCUGUGGCUUUGAUAGUGGCUCUGCCUGUCCCCCACCCCAUGAAAUCCACGUCAAAUCUCCCAGCAGACAGACACAUACCCAUUCUCGGAGAGAGAGCUCGCACAGUUUGUAAGGAUGUAGUAAGGAUGUACGCCUUGUCUCGCAGGGCCUUUUCCUCCCUCCCACCCCAUCAACACUCCGGCAUGAAAACGGGAUGCCAUCAGGCGCAGUUAUUAAUACACAAUAGAAGUGCCAUGUGUGAUUGUCUGCAUUAUAUGUAAUGCAGAUUUAGAGAUGUCAUUGUAAAGUCAUUUUAAACUCUGAACUAAUGGGUAGUUUGGCAACAGCUUCUAAGUAUGAAAUCAUUAUUAAUUCCUUUAGUACCAUAAUAACAUUGAUUUAGAUGAACUCUUAUAACAUAGAAAUUGUAUAGUAUUUAGCUGUAAUUAACGUCCCCUAAUUAGGAAGUGUUGCCAAGUAGUUUUCUCUGCUGGCUCUGUUGUACUUAAGUGCAGCUGGAUGAAAAUUAACCACAAAGGGAACAGCUUGUGUUUUAUGUGAAGUUUGCCUUUGAUUGAUUAAAAAACUAUUCCUUGGUACUUUAUUUUAUUACCAAAGAGGGGGCACUGGAUUAUCAAUGUUACAGAGAGCCACAAAGUCCACAUGCUGUAAACUACGCACACAUUUGUAUAGUAUAUAAGCCCAAUGACUUAGCUACACAUUCAGAAAAUUCACAGAUUUAUUUUGUCUCAGUACCACAAGUUAUCCAUAAUAAAAAUCAAUUUAUUU
This 4281-nucleotide long non-coding RNA is filed under the name Strigops habroptila (Kakapo). RNAcentral's name for it is "lncRNA (ENSSHBG00005003080.1)". Lineage: Eukaryota; Metazoa; Chordata; Aves; Psittaciformes; Psittacidae. The record is from RNAcentral.